GGGAAUAUAGCUCAGUUGGCAGAGUGUGUACUUUGCAUGUACAAGGCCCUGGGUUCAAUCCCCAGCGCACACA
Molecule: transfer RNA, 73 nt
Filed under: Marmota monax (woodchuck)
Lineage: Eukaryota; Metazoa; Chordata; Mammalia; Rodentia; Sciuridae
Rfam family: tRNA
About the family: Transfer RNA (tRNA) molecules are approximately 80 nucleotides in length. Their secondary structure includes four short double-helical elements and three loops (D, anti-codon, and T loops).
Source: Rfam by way of RNAcentral